UAGACUGAAAAUUGCUUAUAAGCUAAUUGUGAUUAAAGUAAUCACAAUAAUGCUAAAAUGGAAAUUAAGCAUUUCUAAACUUAAUUAGUAGCUUGAGAACAUCCAUUGAUAGGUUUUGGAUGUGUGAGAAUAAGCUCGAAGGGAAUUGAAGCAACAGAAGAACUCCAAUUGCCAUUUGAGUCGAAAAUUGAAAUUUCUAGUCAAUUGGUCAAAAUGGCCACAUUGAUGCAAAGUUUGAAACUAAUUGCUUCCAAACUACCUUGAUGUCUUGGAAAGCUUCUUUGGCAUGAUUUGGAUGUGCUCGAAUGAGAUCCAAAUGAAUUAUAUGAGAGGAACAAGAGAUAUGAACACCCGAUGUCCAAAUGCUGAAAUUUUUAGUUAAAUUGAUCAAAAGUGAUCAAAUUGAUGCAAAUUUGAGAAUUAAAAGUUACCAAAUUAAUUUGGUAGCUUGGGAAGUUCAUUUGGAAUGUUUUUGAAGCGUUGGAAUGAAAAAGGAAUGAGAAAAAUCAAAGGAAAAGAGAAUCGAAGCAGCUGCUGUUCCUGCUGCUGCUGCUGCUACUGGUGCACUGUGUACCGGUACAGCAAGUAGCCUGUACCGGUACAGCAGUUGCGGGCAGCACUUGUCCACUGAUGCAAUUUCAUGGAAUUUGAAGGGCUAAGCUGCAAUUGAUCACCCUUAUCUCUUCACCUGAGUGGAAUACACUUGUCCAAGCUCCAGAAAUCCUAUUUCCUUUUAUACUUAUCAUUUCUUUCUUCCUCUCUUCUCUCUAGACAAAGAAAGGGCUUGAGACGUUAGAGUUGGCAGCUUAGGGAGUUGAGUGGCUGAGCAAGUAAUCAGCAGGGAAUAGAAUUUGGAGCAGGGAAAUUUCGAUUUCUGCUGUUCGAGCAUAGAGGGCAGCUAGGGAGAAGUGUUCUUGCUGCUGGAGCUGAAGCUAACCUUGGAAAAGCUUCAAGCUAAGGAGAAUUGGUGGAGUUCAGCCGAAAAGAGGAAGUUGAGCUGAGAACCACUUGGUAUAACACCUAAUUAAGAAUCUGAAAUCUAAGGCAUUCAUUGCUGCAGGAGUCACAAAAGAGAGUUAGAUGCUGAAGUUCCUGCUGUGAUGCUGCUGAAAUUCAGGAUUGAGCCACUUGAUGCAGUGAACUAGUAAAUUCAGCAGCAAACUAAGAAUUGAGCUGAAAAGAAAGCUUCGGAGAGACCUUUUGAUUAUUGGAGCUUGCUCGAACCAGGGAUCAGCUGAGAAGGCUUGGGAUUUGAAGUAAGAACUUGACUCCUUCGCUGGCUCGAGCUGAGAGAAGCUACCUGGCAAGGAGUUCAUGCUAUGGUUGCUGCUGCAAGGAUGAAAUGGAUCAACUAAAAGCUUCGCUGCAGGAAUUUCAGCUUUGGAGCUGAACUAAGAAGUAUUGGAGCUAACCUAUAUACCUUCAUGUUGCUGCUGCUGCCGAAAUGAAGAGAGGACCAAUUGAUGCAUGGAGCAAGUCAACUUAGCAUCAAAUUACAGUCGGUGACGCGCUAAUUACGAUAGAAGCCAUUUUGGCUCUAUUUGCUUCUAGUCGUGAGAUACCCUCGUGGAUUCACUUUGAGACGUGAGAUCUGAUUUGCGACACCACUACAGGUUCCAGUGCGAGCGUUGUAGCCAUGGAUCGCGGCAAGGGCCCCGCAGCUUAGCUAGCGGACACCAGAGUUCUAGUAGUUUACCAUUUUGGCUUCAUGUAGCAUCUAGUUGAUGUAUAGAAACAUGUAAAUGAAUGUAUUAUAAAACAUGUAUAUAACUAAAUGCUUUCAUGUUCAGUUAUGUAAAUUCAGUUGGAAAGUUUUAAAUUACAGUGAAUUUCAUGUUUA
This is a long non-coding RNA of Ananas comosus (pineapple), 1840 nucleotides long. RefSeq lists it as uncharacterized. The transcript has 5 exons. The record is from RefSeq and is a predicted model, not a curated record. Lineage: Eukaryota; Viridiplantae; Streptophyta; Magnoliopsida; Poales; Bromeliaceae.